Nannospalax galili (Upper Galilee mountains blind mole rat) is the source of this 166-nucleotide small nuclear RNA. Its record names the gene U1. It matches the Rfam family "U1 spliceosomal RNA". From Rfam's summary of the family: U1 is a small nuclear RNA (snRNA) component of the spliceosome (involved in pre-mRNA splicing). Its 5' end forms complementary base pairs with the 5' splice junction, thus defining the 5' donor site of an intron. There are significant differences in sequence and secondary structure between metazoan and yeast U1 snRNAs, the latter being much longer (568 nucleotides as compared to 164 nucleotides in human). Lineage: Eukaryota; Metazoa; Chordata; Mammalia; Rodentia; Spalacidae. The record is from Ensembl.
CAACUCACCCUGGGCAGUUGUGAUGCUGUGAUCACAAAGGCCAUUUUCACAAGGUGAGGCUCAUCCAUUGCUCUCCUGUGUGUUGACCCCUUAAUUUUCCCAAAUGCAGGAAAAUGGACUGCAUAAUUUGUGGUAGCAGGGAACUGUGUACCAGCUCUCUCCCUGU